GCCCGGUUAGCUCAAUCGGUAGAGCGUGAGACUCUUAAUCUCAAGGUUGCGGGUGAGUACAUGGCA
Molecule: non-coding RNA, 66 nt
Organism: Hypoxylon argillaceum
Lineage: Eukaryota; Fungi; Ascomycota; Sordariomycetes; Xylariales; Hypoxylaceae
Source: the annotation of a GenBank genome assembly